Molecule: long non-coding RNA, 504 nt
Organism: Xenopus laevis (African clawed frog)
Lineage: Eukaryota; Metazoa; Chordata; Amphibia; Anura; Pipidae
Exons: 5
Source: RefSeq, a predicted model, not a curated record
CUGAGAUCAGGGAACAAUAUAAUAUCAGCACAACAAUAAAAAACACAGCAAAUAUAUUACUUUCUGAUUACUUUCUACUUCUGCUAUUGAAAUACAACUGUAGAAAGGAUGUACAAAGGAUUAUUGCUCUGUGUACUACUCGUAAUCUGUGCAAAUGUACUGGCACAGCGAGAUCCCCCUAGGGCUGCAGAUGCAAAUGAAAGGGACGUCCGGGGAAUAAAGGAAUUUGUGCACUCUCUGGGCAAAUUUGGAAAAGCUUUUGUGGGAGGGAUACUAAAUCAAAAACGAGAUGCGGAGGCAGAAGGUGGGAGGGGUUGACUAGUUUCGGCAACAGAUAAACAGCAGUGAAGAACAAUGAUUUCUGAAACCAUAUAAAUGGCUGAAAUGAUUCUGAACAUUGCAGUGAUGAAGAAUAAGAAAAUCCCUUAGAUACCCUACCCACAAUCAUAUCCCUACACUAUACACACCUGUUUCUCUUUAGGGCAAAUAAACUGUAUAAAAAUA